Gallus gallus (chicken) is the source of this 8963-nucleotide RNA transcript. It is a transcript of the gene named translation initiation factor IF-2-like, with no coding region annotated. Lineage: Eukaryota; Metazoa; Chordata; Aves; Galliformes; Phasianidae. The record is from RefSeq and is a predicted model, not a curated record. The transcript is spliced from 4 exons.
AGGCAGCGGAGCGGCUGCGGAGCGGCGGCGGCGGUGGCGUCGGGAGCCCCGGCCCCGCGAUAAAAGGGAAGGGGCCGGGCGGCGGGCGGCGCGCGUUGCGGCACUGGGGGGAGCGUGGCCGGGAAGGAGGGAGGGAGCGAAGGAGCCGCCUCCCGCAGGAAUCCCGGGCAGGCGGCAGUAGCAGCGGCGGCAGCCGGGACGCGCGGCUCCCCCUGCCUGCGCGGCGGCGGGAGGCGGGUGAGCAUCGAGGAGCAGCCGCCGCCUCAUCCUGCGGCAGCGGCCGGCGCUGCCCGGCGAGCGCAGGUGGCAGUGUAGAAGCCAAGAACAAAAAUUGGCAGAAAUUAUAUUCUGUAUACGAGAGAAUGAAGAGUAUACUCAUGACUAAGCACAGGAACCUGGAAAACCACAGGAUUCCUGGGAAGCCACGGAGGAUGGGGUGAACUCAGAGCUGGAGCAUGAGGAGUUUUUUGGAACUUGUGAAUGGGAAGUUAUCCUGGGGAGUUGAAAAACCACACACCUGCUUCAUUUGUGCUUCAUAUUGGCUCUUUGGAGAGAGGGAGCAGAGAUGCAAAGCAAAAGAAUGGUCUUGUCAUGGGGAGCCAGGAAAGGGCAAAGACAAAUGAACAGCAGCGUCCAUUGCACAGAGUGUAUUCAGACAAGAUGGCAUGGAAUGGCACUGAACAAGGCACAGGACCUUACAGUUUGGUAUUAUUUGGAAUUGCAAUACUGCUUUCAUGGUAUAAUGGAUAUUCUUGUGCUGCAUAGUCUAUUGUUGUGUAUGCAGAAGGCCAAGUCAUGUGCAGUAAAAGAGGAGCAGUUGUAUUUCUUUGCAAAGGCUGCAUAGAGUUGAGUUUUUGAGACUCAAAGGUGCAGCAUACUAAAAAUCAAAACUAAAAAUAGAGUGGGAGUAUGAAAUCUCAGGCAUUGUUGUGACUGAGGUGAGGUCUAUCUACAAGAGUGUUCAGACCUCUGAAAGCAGAAAAACAGAAGAAAAUGAAAGGGUGCUCCAGGUAAAAUUCUGUAGACAGUUCUUAUGUGUUUAAAAACAGUAAAAAAUGUGAUAUUUUCCUGGAGGGGAAAAGAAAAAAAAAGAAAAUCUCUUUCAGAGCUGUGUGUUUAUAUUCAUAAAAAUGGGGAUCACGCUGUUGUAUAUAUUGUGAAAAAUAGGGUAGCAAUGUAGAUUAAGACUGCUAUUCCAAAAUUUUUGUUUUCUUUUUUGUGUUCCCUGAUAUGCGCUAAAAAUAUGUUCAAUAUCUUAACAUCUGCAUUGUUAUGAAAAAAUGGCAUGUCUUUCUUUUUGUUUUCAGUUGUGUUGUUCUUGCAUUACAUUUUGUUCCAUGCUCUCUCUUCUUUUGGGAUGUGAAGUCAUUUUCUUUUGUCAUUAGUAGAUGUAAUCAACUUAACUCCAAAACUGCACUAUGCACCACUUGGAAGAGGUUGUUUCUUCUAUUCUGCCUCAAAAAACUCACAUUGUAUGUUGUGAAUAUGGAGUUGCUUGUGGAAGUGUCUCCUGAUUGGCAGAGAGGGGCAGUAGGUAAAGGGAGCUAAGCCUAUCCCAUUUAAAAAAACAUGUGAGGUUGAAGAAAGACAGAGUGAGAGUACUUUGCAUACUAUUGUGUGUUAGCGUGUUUAAUCAUAAAUGCACCAGUACAUCCCAUUGAUUUCAACUGGAGCAUGAGAAGCAUGGGUAAGGCCAUGCCCUUGGCAGGCUUCUGAGCACCAUGCAGCAGAAGGUGAGUGAGUGAAGAUGGGCUGUAGUUCUGAUGCAUGUGUCAUGUAGAGGAAGCAAAACAGGCAAGAAAUAAGGUCAGACUUGCUGUAAUGACAAGAAAGGGAAAAGUUAAGAUGGACUAACAGUGAGGCCAAGAUGACUGGUGAGGGGUCAAGUAGGUGAGGGCUAGCUUGGGGAGGUCAUUAGCUGUUUGAUGUUGCUGCUUUCCAGUACGCUGACUGUAACACUAGAUUCCUUGAUUCCUCUUUCUCACCUAGUUGGUGCACUGGAAAAGGUCUACCCCACAAACUGUUGCUACUCAAUUGUCUCAAGAAGCAGAGCUGAAUGUUAAUGCUCUGACUCUGUCCCUCAGUUGUGCAGUUGUCAAUAUGUUGCCACAAAAAUAAAUUUGACUGUCUUGUUUGGUUAUUUUCUUUCCUUGAAAACUGAAGAAAUUCUGCAGGUACAGAAAGCACUUCAAAAAAAUGUUAAGGGGGCAGAACCAGGCAACCAGCACUGAGAAGUGCUAAAAUUGAGGUUGCAGCUCUGCUUUCUUGGAAGUAUGUGUUAGUGCAAAAUCUUAUAUCAAAUGGUAAGUUUUGUUGUUUUCCCAGAAUAAACAUGCCUGCGGUAAAAUGGUGGUGUUAUGGUAUGAGUAGGAGAUAUGUAGGACAGGAGAUUAUCACAGAUAUUCCUGAGCUUGGGCAAAACUGCCAAAGUCAUUCAGCUGUCCCAGGCAACCCUCUUCUCUCAGAGGUUUCCACUGGCUGCCUCCAUCUGCAGCUCCCUUCCUCUGGGCAGCAGCACUCAUGACAGCAACAGCCUCUGGGGCUAUGUAUGUUUGGUGCCAUCCCUUAAAAAAACGCUGGAAGUAGGGAUUUCCCUGAUUUAUACCCUUUUUGUAAGCUAGCAGCAUGGCGAUGGUUCCUGUCUUCAUACAAACUUCCUAUGUGUUUCAGAGGAGGUGCUGGGCUAUGCGGACAGCCUUCAUUUAUCUAAUGGUGCAUGCACUGUGCUUUGGGAACACCUCAUCUCUAAAUUUCUUCUUGUCACAAGAGUGGGAAGGUGUGAAAUGACAUAGGGCAUUGGACAAGGACAAAGGAGGGUCUCAUGGCUAAGACAUCAGGUGGUACAAAAGAGAACUGAGUUCUGUCACUGCUGCCUGCACCACAGUUUUCUUUUAUGAAGCUAUUAUUUCUGUGACCAACUACCAAAAUGCUGGUUUAUGUCUUAUUUUUCAGAUUUCCAAAUCAACUCCAGCAGUCACGUGGUCCUUCAAAGCCAGUUUUAGUUGAUGAGCAGUAAGAAAUUCAGUGUAAGUCACAACCCUUUCUAGAGAGUAAUAGGCAGUGAAACUGAACUAUUGAAUAGGUGACACGAGAGUGGAAAAAUCAGGCAGCUUGAGGUCUGGAAUGGUUCUGUAUUUGAAUUGCUCCUUUCCCCACCCACCCCCCAAACAAUUCAUAUUCUCCAAAGAGCCAUGUGCUUAAAUAGAAGUGUUUGAAACCAAAAAGACAAUAGAUACAUCAGUUAAUCUAUAGUUCUCGUCUAUAUUAAGUUACUUCUAAAUGGUAGUAAAGGCUCAAUUUAGCUGAGCACUUAGUAAGGCAUCUAGCUGCAUAUUUGAAUUGAGGCCAGGAUUGAUAAACUCGGAUACUGUGUGAUAAUACAUUCUAACAUGAACGUUGAAUCUACAGUGGUUAAUGUGUAUGUCCAAAGAUGACUGUGUCUUGCUUCUACUUAGAUUUGUUUUUUGAUUCUUUUGAAGCUAAUUUAUAUGUGAUACUGGGUAAGAGACAGUUCACACAUUCCCAGGAAAAAAAAAAAAAAGAAAAAAGAAAAAAGAAAAAGGGAUACAAACAAUUUAUUUAUUUUGAAAAGAAUGAAUUUAUAAGCAGAGAAUAUUCUCUAAUUUCCCCAAAUACCUGAGAUAUGUCACAGAACUCAAGUUUGUUUUGGUUCCUUUGACACCUUUUUGUUCAGUGGUUAGUGAAUCAUUUGCUGUCUGCAUGCAAGAUCCAGUUGCAGCAGACUGGAGAGAGUCUUCUGAGACCUCAGAAACCUGCAAAGGAAAGAAUUCCUUUGAGUAGACUAGCACCAAAACAAUACUCAUUUUUAACUUGUGGGGAAGCAUUUAAAUUGUGUCUUAAGUGUCACUGUAAUGAGGUCUUUACCUCAUUACUAUUUGGCAGUUUCAAAAUAAAACACAGAGAUUUUAAAGAUAAGAUGUUCAUGACUUCCAAAAGACAGUACACCUCAGGGCAGUUAUCCUCUACAAAAAGAGGAUAAACUUGAAAUUUCACAAAAGCAAAACCAUGAAUAAAGGACAUGAAAUGGAAGCAAUGUAAGGAAUAAAGAGUGUAAUUAAGGAUUUAUCUAUAGAACAGGCAGAAGAUGUACAUAAAAUAGUAACAAAAUUUUUUUGAAAUUUUGCUAAAUACGUGUGAGCCUGAGCUAUCCUGAAGAGAAAGAAAAUAGUGAAACACAUUGCUAUCACUUGACUUUCCAGUAGAAAAAUAUUUGUUUCCUUUUUUAUUUUGCCAUUGAAUUAGUGUGAAGGUUUUUUAAGUUAUUUCAUUGUGGCUUGGCUAAAGCACGUUUUCCUUAGGUUAUGGACUAAAUUAUAAUUUCAAAAAUUAAAAUUAAUAUCAGUGGCAUCAUUCCCUCUAAGUUUCUUAUGUAAAUCGGAUGAAGACUCAGCAGAAUGCUGUGCUUUUCUGCAUGACGAUGGUGACUUCUAGAAUACAGCGUCUCCAGGAUAUGAGAAAACCAAAGUGUGUACAUACAAAACAAAACAGCUUUUAUAGCAAGGAAGAAUAUAUUUGAUUAUUUCAGAAUAAAACAUAAAUGGACUUGUUAACAAACUGACAAAGUCAAUGCUUUUGCAAAGUUCAUGGUGAGGUAGAGUUGGGUUUUGUUCUGUAUUCUCAUAAAACUUAGCAAAGAAAGUAGUAGUUGGUUUUGACGGUACUCACAGUCAACAUUAAAAAUACAGUUUGAAUUAUAAUUUAGUAAAUAUAUUACUGUUGGUUUGGGUAAAAAGGACAUGAAGUUGUCUCCAUUUUGCUUAUGAUUUGUGAUUUUCAGCUGAAAGAUUCUUUGUGAAAAUCCUUCCAUAAAUAGAGCGUAAUUGUUGAUAAAUUACAACAUAGUAUUUUACUGCACAGUGAUAGAGCACUUUUCUACUCCGAUAGUUAGGACAACCUCGAUUUUGAGGCUUUCUAGAGACAAAAUUACCACUUCUUUUCUGUAUUUCUUCUGUUCGUUUGGUGAUCAUGGCUAAAUCAUGGGAAACAGUAGCUUCAAUUUUUCCUCUCUUCUUUAAAAUGAAGGCUUAACUAAGUACAUUUUAAGAAGAUUACUUUUAAACGCAUAUCUCUGCUAGGCAAAAUACCAAUAUGACAUAGUAUAUAUAUUUUUGUCUUUCUUUUCCUUUCUGUAGCAGUUAUUAUAGAAGUAAUUAUAUCACCAUAAUUUCUUUUCUUCUCCAAACUUUUUUGUUGUUGUUGUUCUCUUCAUCUAUGAAUGCUUAACUCCUUGCAUUAAAAAACAAAACAAAAAUAAAUAAGCACACAACAAUGAAGUAAAAAAAUCCUCAUUGAGAAUAUGAUCCAAUACUCCCAUAUUUGCCCAUCUCAUUAGGGUAUAUUUCUCUACUGUUUAACACCAGCUGACUGGUAAUUGUAGAAAAAAUUGCAUGUUUAUGGAUAGCUGAUGCAUCAUUUAGCUAGGAUAUGCCUUAGCCCAAUAUAUUUAAAACAUUAGGCAUGGAAUAGUAAUCUGUACAUUUACCUCUCCUUCUGGAAUAAUCUUUUUAUAAAAAUUGUUUUUCACUGUUGUUUUCUUUUGUAACUUUUCAGACUCAGAAAAACCUAGGUAGCUGCUGCUGACUUAAUGAAUAACCUUAUUGCUUAUUUAUUAGGGUUUUUAGUCAGCUUUUACUAAUUAUAUUAUACCAUGUGAGUAUUUGUUUGAUAUAUAUAUAUAUGUCUCAUUUUCCACAUAUAAUUCAGUGUUUUAUAUACACACGUGUCUCAUGUUUAUGUACAUGUAUCUAUGUACACAUGCACAAAUAAUCCCCCAUUUAUAUAUGGAGAGGGAGAGAUACACACAUAUCGGAAACAUAUAGGAGGUGUAUAUAUACUUACCCCGUAUCCUGUGGUUGAUUCCAUCCAUUGUCACUGUAACAAAAUGCUCCUCUCACAGUAGGUGAUCUGUAACUGUCCUUGACAUGCAUAUGUAUUUAUUCCUGUGGAACUACCCCUGCAGAGAACAUACUGAGAGAAUAUUGCUGGGUGAUUCGUAUCAACAAAUAGGGAGUGGGGGUAAAAUUGUGACAUAGAUACCAAUGACAAAAGCCAUAUUGACUCUAGUGGGAUGAGAAUGUAGGUGGAGAGAGAAUGAGCAAUAAUACAUUAAUAUAUUUAUAAUCUGCUGUUGCCUCCAAGUGUGCUUUCUUCUGCAUCACUGAUAUUGACCUUCUGUACUUUACUAUUCAGCUUAUGAAAACUAAUUCAAUUAGUAUCAAAGCACAGGUAAAUCUCAAAGCAUACUAGUACUCUUGUUGUAAUUAUUGUGUGUCAAAUUAAAUUGCUGUUAGAAAGACAUUCAACUGAAUUGAUCUCCAUUAGCUUAAGUGGUUGUGUGAGUUUGUUGUCAUAUGGGGAAAAAAAAAUCUCUUCAGUUGUAGAUUCUACAGUAAAGUAGUGAUCAAAAAGAGUAUUGAUAAUCCACUGAAAGCUGGGAUGUUAAUGGUGUUACAGGAUGAAGAGUAGUGAAAUAAAAUGAUGAGUCUAAGGCUGUAUGACUUGAACUUCUAAUGUGCUUUCUUCUGCAAAGAACUGAACAUGUAAAUCAUGCUAGUAUGACUGCUUAUGAACAUGAUUAUCAUCAGCCAUACAUAGCACAGUCAUCAAAUCCUGUGCAUAUCUGGUUUUCUAUGGGCUAUAUGAGUUCUUAGAUGUAAAAAUUAAAGAGUAUGACGAAGGUCUUGCAGAACCUGUGUUGUUUGUGAUGCCAAAGCUCAGCUAGUCAAGCAUAGAAGGUAUGGCUGAUAUUCCUGUACAUGGUUUCAGUUAAGACUGGGAUAGAUUUGAAGUGUGAACGUUCAGUGAAUAAUAGCAAAGUGUUGUAAAGCUGCUCAUUGUUUUUUCUCAAAGGACAAACUGGUGCAUUGCUCUGUGGAAAAUAAUAAGGGCAUAAGAUAGAUGUUGAUAUUCCAGAUGAUAGUGUUUGUGACAUGAGAAUAUCACAUACAGUAGUUACAAUUGAAAUACAAUUUAUUCAGACCACAUGUAUUAAUUUUGUUUUGAAAAUGUACGGCUGAGUACUUGAUAGUUUAGAUACAAUAAUUUUACGAAGAGUUGCCAAGAAGAAGUUGACAGUUUGGAACAAGGAUUGCUGUGGUUGCUACGUUCAGAAGCCUAGAACAAGCCAGCAGGAAAUAAUACCAGGGUGGGAAAGUAUUGCUAUGGUUACCGAGUAUUUUCUUUAAAGGAGAGGUGGAUAGCGCAGCAAGAAUCGCUGAAACUUAGGUAAUACUGUAUUAUAUAGAAAGCAAAAAGACUGAAAGAUAAUAAUUGUCUUGUGGUCUUAAUGGCAUUUUGUUAGUUUCCAGCAAAGAAGGAUUUAAUUACCAUAGGAAUAAUUUGUGGAAGCUUUGUUACGAAAAUACCCUUAGCUUUUAUUUUUUUUAAAGUGGAAUGCCAGCACAAUAUCUUGCAUAUUUUGGCUCCAUCUCUUUGUUUUUAAAACAAAAAGACCUUUUUCUUCUGGUGAAGUCGAUUGAGAGUUCUUUUAAAAAGAAUAAAAGUGUAAUUAUACCAAAAUAAUUUAAUUCAUGUAAACUCUUGACAGCUUUUCAGUAUACUAAAAAACUGUAAUAUAACUGCCUUUUGCAAAACUACGUGUAAUACAAAUUGAUUGCAAAAUACAGUAAGAAUUGUAAUAUAUAAUAAAAAUCUGCUUGAAGGAGUGCUGUAAAUAUGAACUGUAAAAGUCAUCUAGCAGGCAUCCUUUUUUUAUAGUAGACACCCUAUAGUACUUAAUUGCAAUUAGCUCUCUGUGCUUUAUCCUGAAAAGAAAGAAGCAGAAAACCACAACAAAGCUCAGCGUUCCCAUUUCAAUCUUGGAGAAGACCCUCUCCUUUCCCUCUGAUGUUUAUAAAAAGAGGUACAGUCUGAUGCAUCCGGACUGUGUGCACUGAACUGUGCCCAGUACACUCUGCCCCAUCAUCUGAAUCUCAGCCUCAGAGGGCAGCCUGGUUUAACUGCGUUUGUAGGCCCACCAUUUCGGUUCACCUGAAUACGUCUGAUGGGACUGCACAUAUAAGACGAAACUCAUGAGCUACACAAUGGCACCGAAGGUCUGCACCUGACCCUCUGUAGUGUGUCGGUUUAGUUCCUUGUCCAUGCUGAAGAGCACGGAGCAGAACUGAUCACUGUAGGAGGUAAAGGAUGGAAAGAGUGAGGGACAGACUAUCUCUGCUCACAGGAGCCUGCUCUCUGUUGGAGCGUAAGUCCAUCACACCAUACAAAUUGACCAUGUCACAACUUAACUUUGGGCAUGUUUCUUUGAAGGUAAGAAGACGGAGGAUUUAAAUUGCCGCAUGAAAAAUGUUCAGCUAUUUUUUAUUGUUUUCCAUAGUUUUAGUGCUCUUUUACCUGUGCUGUGAGAUAGGGAUAUGAAAUUUGGAAGUGGGUGGGUACCUGAACAUGGAAAUCAUCUGCAGCAUCUAGUAGUGCAGACCCUGGCUACCACAACUGUGAACAACAAACCUUUCUAAAAUAAUCUUACAGCUUUGUUAGAAAAUUCCAGACUUGUAUGCAGAGAACACAAAAGAUGCGGUGUGAAGUACACAGCAGGGACAGCACGCUUCAGACGGAUGCUGUAUACUGGAGCUGGAGUUUCUCUGUAUAAGGGCAGUGAGACAAAAACUCAGAAGUCUGGGAGAAAGACGUGAUAUGGAGGAGAUGAAGGAGAUGCAACUAUUAUGAUGAGAUCAACUGAGGAGAUGAGAUGAGGUCCCUUGGAUAGGUAAAUGGAAAGUGUAAACAAGAAGUUCCAAGAAAGGAAUGGUAACUGGGAUUUAGAAACCUGAGGCACUAGAGACUGAAAUGGAAUGAGUGACAGAAGAAGGUAGGAGAAUGUUACAGUGGUGAGAGUCAGUGCUUGGAAGCUUAAGAGUAAAUGAAGAACAAUUAUUCUAUGGCAAAAAAAAAAAAAAAAAAAAAAAAAAAAAAAAAAAACCAGC